GCUGGGCAUGGUGGCCCAUGCCUGUAGUCUAGCUACUCGGGAGGCUGGGGCAGGAGGAUCGCUUGAGUCUGGGAGGCUGAGGUUGCAGUGAGCAGAGACUGUGCCACUGCACUUCAGCCUGGGCAACAGAACAAGACCCUGUCUCAA
RNAcentral lists this signal recognition particle RNA (147 nucleotides) under Homo sapiens (human). Its description in RNAcentral is "Metazoan signal recognition particle RNA". It matches the Rfam family "Metazoan signal recognition particle RNA". From Rfam's summary of the family: The signal recognition particle (SRP) is a universally conserved ribonucleoprotein. It is involved in the co-translational targeting of proteins to membranes. The record is from Rfam by way of RNAcentral. Lineage: Eukaryota; Metazoa; Chordata; Mammalia; Primates; Hominidae.